Molecule: ribosomal RNA, 430 nt
Filed under: Chloroflexota bacterium
Lineage: Bacteria; Bacillati; Chloroflexota
Description: Chloroflexi bacterium partial 16S ribosomal RNA
Rfam family: Bacterial small subunit ribosomal RNA
Source: RNAcentral
UGGGGAAUAUUGCACAAUGGGCGCAAGCCUGAUGCAGCCAUGCCGCGUGUGUGAAGAAGGCCUUCGGGUUGUAAAGCACUUUCAGCGGGGAGGAAGGCGUUAAGGUUAAUAACCUUUACUCAUUGACGUUACCCGCAGAAGAAGCACCGGCUAACUCCGUGCCAGCAGCCGCGGUAAUACGGAGGGUGCAAGCGUUAAUCGGAAUUACUGGGCGUAAAGCGCACGCAGGCGGUCUGUCAAGUCGGAUGUGAAAUCCCCGGGCUCAACCUGGGAACUGCAUUCGAAACUGGCAGGCUAGAGUCUUGUAGAGGGGGGUAGAAUUCCAGGUGUAGCGGUGAAAUGCGUAGAGAUCUGGAGGAAUACCGGUGGCGAAGGCGGCCCCCUGGACAAAGACUGACGCUCAGGUGCGAAAGCGUGGGGAGCAAACAGG